CAGUAGCCACGGGAAUACGGAGGGAGCUAGCGUUGUUCGGAAUUACUGGGCGUAAAGCGCACGUAGGCGGUUAUUCAAGUCAGAGGUGAAAGCCCGGGGCUCAACCCCGGAACUGCCUUUGAAACUAGAUGACUAGAAUCUUGGAGAGGUCAGUGGAAUUCCGAGUGUAGAGGUGAAAUUCGUAGAUAUUCGGAAGAACACCAGUGGCGAAGGCGACUGACUGGACAAGUAUUGACGCUGAGGUGCGAAAGCGUGGGGAGCAAACAGGAUUAGAUACCCCGGUAGUCCCUGUCUCUUAUAC
RNAcentral lists this ribosomal RNA (301 nucleotides) under uncultured bacterium. RNAcentral's name for it is "partial 16S ribosomal RNA". It matches the Rfam family "Bacterial small subunit ribosomal RNA", at positions 509 to 807 of the family's 1533-position model. The record is from RNAcentral.